This 1203-nucleotide ribosomal RNA is filed under the name metagenome. RNAcentral describes it as "bacterial SSU rRNA". It matches the Rfam family "Archaeal small subunit ribosomal RNA", at positions 241 to 1445 of the family's 1478-position model. The record is from RNAcentral.
GUAGCGUACCUACCAGCCUACGACGGGUACGGGUUGUGAGAGCAAGAGCCCGGAGAUGGAUUCUGAGACACGAAUCCAGGCCCUACGGGGUGCAGCAGGCGCGAAAACUUUACAAUGCCGGCAACGGCGAUAAGGGAACCUCGAGUGCCAGGUUACAAAUCUGGCUGUCGUGAUGCCUAAAAAGCAUUGCAUAGCAAGGGCCGGGCAAGACCGGUGCCGGCCGCCGCGGUAACACCGGCGGCUCGAGUGGUAACCGUUAUUAUUGGGUCUAAAGGGUCUGUAGCCGGCCGGGUAAGUCUCUUGGGAAAUCUGGCAGCUUAACUGUCAGGCUUUCAGGAGAUACUGCCUGGCUCGAGGCCGGGAGAGGUGAGAGGUACUUCAGGGGUAGGGGUGAAAUCUUGUAAUCCUUGAAGGACCACCAGUGGCGAAGGCGUCUCACCAGAACGGACCUGACGGCAAGGGACGAAAGCUAGGGGCACGAACCGGAUUAGAUACCCGGGUAGUCCUAGCCGUAAACGAUACUCGCUAGGUGUCGGCCACGGUGCGACCGUGGUCGGUGCCGUAGGGAAGCCGUGAAGCGAGCCACCUGGGAAGUACGGCCGCAAGGCUGAAACUUAAAGGAAUUGUCGGGGGAGCACCACAACGGGUGGAGCUUGCGGUUUAAUUGGAUUCAACGCCGGAAAUCUUACCGGGACCGACAGCAAUAUGAAGGCCAGGCUGAAGACUUUGCCGGAUUAGCUGAGAGGUGGUGCAUGGCCGUCGUCAGUUCGUACUGUGAAGCAUCCUGUUAAGUCAGGCAACGAGCGAGACCCACGCCCACAGUUGCCAGCGUACUCUCCGGAGUGACGGGUACACUGUGGGGACCGCCGCUGCUAAAGCGGAGGAAGGAAUGGGCAACGGUAGGUCAGUAUGCCCCGAAUAUCCUGGGCUACACGCGAGCUACAAUGGUUGGUACAAUGGGUAUCUACCCCGAAAGGGGAUGGAAAUCUCCUAAAGCCAAUCUUAGUUCGGAUUGAGGGCUGCAACUCGCCCUCAUGAAGCUGGAAUCCGUAGUAAUCGCGUUUCAACAGAACGCGGUGAAUACGUCCCUGCUCCUUGCACACACCGCCCGUCAAACCACCCGAGUAGGGUCUGAAUGAGAGCGCUUCCUUCGGAGGUGUUCGAAUUUGGGCUUUGCAAGGGGGGUUAAGUCGUAACAAGGUA